AUGUUCAAGAGCCCACUCACAGAUCAUCUUCGAUCUUCAUUUUGUUCGACAUCAUCUAUCAUGCCUCUUCUUGUGGCGCUGCCCGUGCCCAUCUCUGUUAGAGCUAGCACGGGUGCUCUUUCUAGUACCGGUGCCGCAUCUCCUUCAGCAAAUGCUGAUGGCCUCCUGUUCGAUGAUCUUGUGCUCGGUGACGGUGAGGGAAGCAAGAAUGAGACGGACGACGACCCUGCUGUGAAGUUGGAGUGGCUCAGGUCACAGAUCAUCGGCGCGGAAGCAGAGUUCGCGUCGCCGUUCGGGACUCGCCGCAUCACGUACGCCGACCACACGGCGUCCGGCCGCUGCCUGCUCUUCGUCGAGGAGUUCGUGCAGCGGAACGUUCUCCCGUAUUACGGCAACACGCACACGGUGGACAGCUACGUGGGCAUGCACACGAGCAAGCUAGCCAGGGAGGCGGCGCGGUACGUGAAGCGCAGCCUGGGAGGCGGCCCACAGGACGUGCUGCUCUUCUGCGGCACGGGCUGCACCGCCGCCAUCAAGCGCCUCCAGGAGGUGACCGGCAUGGCCGUCCCUCCCACGCUGCGCUCCAGGGUGCUGGAGGUCCUGCCGCCGUCCGACCGGUGGGUGGUAUUCGUCGGGCCGUACGAGCACCACUCCAACCUGCUCUCGUGGCGGGAGAGUCUCGCGGAGGUGGUCGAGAUCAGGCUGCGGCAGGACGACGGCCUCGUCGACAUGGCGGCCCUGGAGGAGGCGCUGGCAGCGCUCGGGCGCGCGGGGCGGCCCAUGCUGGGCUCUUUCUCGGCGUGCAGCAACGUCACCGGGCUGCGCACCGACACGCGGGCCGUGGCGCGCCUGCUGCACCGGCACGGCGCCUUCGCCUGCUUCGACUUUGCAUGCAGCGCACCCUACGUCGACAUCGACAUGAGGUCCGGGGAGCCGGAUGGCUACGACGCCGUCUUCCUGAGCGCGCACAAGUUCCUCGGCGGGCCCGGCAGCCCGGGCAUCCUCGCGAUGGCGUCGCGGCUCUACCGCCUCCGCCGCACCGCGCCGUCCACCAGCGGCGGGGGCACCGUGCUCUACGUCAGCGGCUUCGACCACGGAGACACGGUGUACUGCGAGGACACGGAGGAGCGCGAGGACGCGGGGACGCCGGCCAUCAUACAGAAGGUCCGAGCAGCGCUGGCGUUCAAGGUGAAGGAGUGGGUCGGGGCGGAGUGCAUCGAGGAGGGCGAGCAGCGCAUGCUCGCCCUCGCCCUCCGCCGGAUCCGGACGGCUGCCAACCCCAACCUGCGGCUGCUGCUCGGCGGCGACCCCGGCACCACCGCAAGCCGGCUCCCGGUGCUCUCUUUCGUGGUGUACCCUCCGGUCGUCGACGAGAACAAGGAGGCGGGGCCGGCGAGGCCGCAGUUGCACUGCCGGUUCGUGACGAAGCUACUGAACGAUCUGUUCGGCGUGCAGGCUCGCGGGGGCUGCGCCUGCGCAGGGCCUUACGGCCACCGGCUGCUCGGCAUCACCCCGGCGCGAGCCAAAGCCAUUAAAUCCGCCGUCGAGAUGGGCUAUCACGGUGUGCGGCCAGGGUGGACGCGUGUCAGCCUGGCGUACUACACGUCGGCGCGCGAGGCGGAGUUCGUGCUGGAGGCCAUAGACUUCGUUGCCAGUUUCGGCCACCGGUUUCUGCCGCUCUACACCUUCGACUGGAAAUCCGGGGACUGGCUGUACAACCGCACCUGCGGCCGCGUCCGGCCAGACAACCGGCCGGUCGCCGAUACUACCAUAACUAGUGCUGCUGCUCUUGAGUCACACAGUGGAGAAGUCAAAGCAGAGCACGAUUACCAGAGCUACAUGGCGUUUGCACGGAACCUGGCCGAGUCCCUGCUCAACACUGGCCUGGAUGACACUCCGGCUAGGGGCAUUCCCAAAGCCAUUGACCAACAGUUGGUUUACUUUAUGACGUGA
This 1953-nucleotide ribosomal RNA is filed under the name Triticum aestivum (bread wheat). RNAcentral describes it as "partial small subunit ribosomal RNA". The record is from RNAcentral. Lineage: Eukaryota; Viridiplantae; Streptophyta; Magnoliopsida; Poales; Poaceae.